UGGUGGAGUGAUUUGUCUGGUUAAUUCCGUUAACGAACGAGACCUCAGCCUGCUAACUAGUGACACAUAUCUUUGAUAUGUGAUUACUUCUUAGAGGGACUAUUUGUGUUUAAUGAAUGGAAGUUUGAGGCAAUAACA
Molecule: ribosomal RNA, 138 nt
Filed under: uncultured eukaryote
Lineage: Eukaryota
Description: partial 18S ribosomal RNA
Rfam family: Eukaryotic small subunit ribosomal RNA
Source: RNAcentral